This 585-nucleotide long non-coding RNA is filed under the name Homo sapiens (human). Its description in RNAcentral is "non-protein coding lnc-TFEC-2:5". The record is from RNAcentral. Lineage: Eukaryota; Metazoa; Chordata; Mammalia; Primates; Hominidae.
AGCAGAAGAGGAAGUUGGAGGCAUGUGAGGUGCAGGAAGGAUUCUAAGCAGUGGUGCUGGCUUUGAAGAUGGAAGGCAUUGUACCUCAAUGAAUGUGACUGGUUUCUAGAAGCUGAGAGUAGCCAGCCCCCAGCUGACAGCCAACAAGGAAACAGGGACCUUGGUUCUCCAACCACAGAAAAUAGAUUCUACCAACAAGAAUGAGCUUGAAAGCAGAUUCUUCCCUCGCACUUAAAGAUUCAUUCUCCAUGCCUCAGUACUCUGUGCUAUUUCCCAGAAGGCUGAUCCUUAAGGACUACACCUGUGGGAUCCCUUGUCACUGGCAAUGGGACAAUGGGAGGUGCCAGCAGAAAAUCAGAGUGAUGAAGAAUGAGGUCUGGGUAUUUAUCUCCUGGCUUUCUGUAAGUAUACAAGGUGAUAAAAAGGAAAAUGAUUCCUAACAACUUGGGGGUAUGUGGAAGCAGGGGAAGGGGGUGCUGUGGGCUGAACUGUGUUUCCUCAAAGUCAUAUGCUGAAGCUCAAACUCCUAAUGUGACUGUAUUUGGAGCAGGGGCUUUUAAGAAGUAAAGUUAAAAGAUGUCACAA